This is a long non-coding RNA of Priapulus caudatus, 339 nucleotides long. RefSeq lists it as uncharacterized. The record is from RefSeq and is a predicted model, not a curated record. Lineage: Eukaryota; Metazoa; Priapulida; Priapulimorpha; Priapulimorphida; Priapulidae. The transcript is spliced from 3 exons.
GACGUACAGUGCUACCACCUGAUGACGACGUGUUGGCAUGACAACCCAGCUAUGCGGCCGACGUUCACUAGCAUGAGGGUCUCCCUUCGACACAUACCCGCAUUUCAGAAACUCGGUGCGAAUUUGGUCGACCACCUUCUUACCAGGAUGGAGCAGUACGCUACCAACCUCGAAUCUCUCGUCGAAGAGAGAACACGAGCUUUUCUCGACGAGAAACGAAAAUCGGAAGAAUUACUCUACGAAAUAUUGCCGAGGAGCGUGGCACGGCAGUUGGUCCAAGGCAAAACCGUCAAACCGGAAGCUUUUGAAAGCGUAACGAUAUAUUUUAGCGACAUCGUU